Molecule: ribosomal RNA, 468 nt
Filed under: uncultured bacterium
Lineage: Bacteria
Description: partial 16S ribosomal RNA
Rfam family: Bacterial small subunit ribosomal RNA
Source: RNAcentral
GACGAACGCUGGCGGCGUGCUUAACACGUGCAAGUCGAACGGAAAGGCCCUGCUUUUGUGGGGUGCUCGAGUGGCGAACGGGUGAGUAACACGUGAGUAACCUGCCCUUGACUUUGGGAUAACUUCAGGAAACUGGGGCUAAUACCGGAUAGGAGCUCCUGCUGCAUGGUGGGGGUUGGAAAGUUUCGGCGGUUGGGGAUGGACUCGCGGCUUAUCAGCUUGUUGGUGGGGUAGUGGCUUACCAAGGCUUUGACGGGUAGCCGGCCUGAGAGGGUGACCGGCCACAUUGGGACUGAGAUACGGCCCAGACUCCUACGGGAGGCAGCAGUGGGGAAUAUUGCACAAUGGGCGGAAGCCUGAUGCAGCAACGCCGCGUGCGGGAUAACGGCCUUCGGGUUGUAAACCGCUUUCGCCUGUGACGAAGCGUGAGUGACGGUAAUGGGUAAAGAAGCACCGGCUAACUACGUG